This is a non-coding RNA of Castor canadensis (American beaver), 352 nucleotides long. Lineage: Eukaryota; Metazoa; Chordata; Mammalia; Rodentia; Castoridae. The record is from RefSeq and is a predicted model, not a curated record.
UUGGCUACGAUCUUCUAUCUAAAUCUAAAAAUCAAUUUGUAAAGUUUCGUGAGAAAUCUUUUUGAGACAAUAAUUGAAGUGGCAUUGCUCUUGCAGACUAAUUUGGAAAAGCUGGUGUCUUUGUGAAUAUGGUGUAUUUACUCCAGUCUUCUUUCAUGCAUUUGGAAAUACCAUGAAUAGUGAGUCACAAUAACCAAGAUUCGGAAUGAACCUGUGUCCAUCCACCUAAAUGUGGAAAAAACACCACGAAUGAACCCAUAACCUUGUGCCUGUCCCUCAGAUGCUCUUGCACUUAAUUGCUUCUCCAGCCAGACCACAGCUUUCACUUCGAUGUCAGCACUCUCAUCGAAGA